GACCAGACUCCUACGGGAGGCAGCAGUAGGGAAUAUUGCUCAAUGGGGGAAACCCUGAAGCAGCAACGCCGCGUGGAGGAUGAAGGUUUUCGGAUUGUAAACUCCUUUUGUUAGAGAAGAAAAUGACGGUACCUGAAGAAGAAGCCCCGGCUAACUACGUGCCAGCAGCCGCGGUAAUACGUAGGGGGCAAGCGUUAUCCGGAUUUACUGGGUGUAAAGGGGGCGCAGACGGCGAUGCAAGCCAGGAGUGAAAGCCCGGGGCCCAACCCCGGGACUGCUCUUGGAACUGCGUGGCUGGAGUGCAGGAGGGGCAGGCGGAAUUCCUGGUGUAGCGGUGAAAUGCGUAGAUAUCAGGAGGAACACCGGUGGCGAAGGCGGCCUGCUGGACUGCAACUGACGUUGAGGCCCGAAAGCGUGGGGAGCAAACAGGAUUAGAUACCCGAGUA
Molecule: ribosomal RNA, 446 nt
Filed under: uncultured bacterium
Lineage: Bacteria
Description: bacterial SSU rRNA
Rfam family: Bacterial small subunit ribosomal RNA
Source: RNAcentral